CUGCUCCGGCAGCCCGGGGCCCCUGCGGACGGCGCGGGGCAGAGUGGGAUGACUUGCCCCUCACCUACUGCCGCCUCCAAGCCGCCCGCGCCCAGCCCAGGGGCCAGCCCAGCGGUGUCAAGGAGGAGGAAGAGGAGGAAGAGGAAGCGGCUGUGGCCCAUCCUACAAGCAAGUCAACGUCGAGUGACCCUGAGGCCCUUCCGGAGACCAAGACGAGACUGUCUCUCAAUGCACAGAAGGGAGAACCAGAUGACGAUGAUGCUGAGUCUGGGAAGCAGGACUCUGACGAGCCCGACACAACGGACAGUGAGGUCGCUGCCCCAUAUGAACACAACAUCCCACAAGAAGCCCAAGCUGAAGAAAAAUAUUUUUGUGCGAAAGACAGAGCUCAUGUGCUGCUAAAGAAGCGAAAAAGAGCACAGGAUGCCUGGACAAAAGCGUCAAAGAAGACGCCGAGAGGAAGAAAGAAAGUCCAAGCCGAAGAGUGCCCAGCUGGGGCACCGGUGACCACCAAGACCCUGGAGAACAGCUCCGCUUCCCAGCACGAUGCCUGCGAGGAGAGCUAACGGCAGGGCGGGAGGAGAAGCCACGGGGGCACGCGGCAGUGCGGAGGAGAGGGCCGGGCUGGCUCGGAGACCUCCCACGCCGGGAGCGCGAUGACUCCUGCGGCGCUGGGCUGGGCGGCGGGGACCUCGCGAGGGUUCAGUGAGGACACUGGGCUGGGCAGCAGGGACCGCGUGAGGACACCCGUCCCGGGUGCUCCUGGAGGAGGCUGGCGGCAUCGGUUAAACCCGACGGCGGUUAAACCCGCGCGGCCCCCUUGCUGGAGCAGGGCCAGGCUGGCGGCUUUCCGUCCCGGCUGAGGGCCGGGGAGACGCGUGUCCCCCCGGGAUGGCGUGGCGCGCAGGCCGGCCGCGGCAGCACCACCACGAGCUUGUUUCCACGUGGAUAAAUCGCUCUGGAAAGACUUUUCUGCUGCGUUAAGGCGGGGCGUGCUCCCCGUCAGCGCCAAGCCACGGGGUCCCGCUGCUGCCYG
Molecule: long non-coding RNA, 1036 nt
Filed under: Dromaius novaehollandiae (emu)
Lineage: Eukaryota; Metazoa; Chordata; Aves; Casuariiformes; Dromaiidae
Description: lncRNA (ENSDNVG00000014812.1)
Source: RNAcentral